CGCUAAGAAGCUAAACUGGACCAAAGCGUCAGCCUUUUAAGCUGGAAAAUGGUGCCUUCCAACCACCCUUAGCGA
This 75-nucleotide transfer RNA is filed under the name Tridentiger obscurus (dusky tripletooth goby). RNAcentral's name for it is "tRNA-Lys". It matches the Rfam family "tRNA". From Rfam's summary of the family: Transfer RNA (tRNA) molecules are approximately 80 nucleotides in length. Their secondary structure includes four short double-helical elements and three loops (D, anti-codon, and T loops). Lineage: Eukaryota; Metazoa; Chordata; Actinopteri; Gobiiformes; Gobiidae. The record is from RNAcentral.